CUCUCCUGUUCUUCAAGGAGCCUCCACGCAGCCUGGCUGCUAUUGGGCACAGAAGAUUGAAUCAGGGGAGAAGAGGCUGACAAUGGGGUGGAUUUGUUUCAUUAAUUCACCAAAUAUUUUUUGAGAGCCUACUAUGUAUGAGGCCUCUGUACCAUCUCACCCUACAGCUUCUUGCUCCCAAAGAGCUUGGAAAAUGACCUAAAAGACUCGUGUACCACUGUAUAAGUAAAUGGCCCGUUUCCCUCCCGAGUGUGUGCAACCAGGAAGAAAGGCUGGGAGAUGGUCAACAAUGGAUAUUAAGCUCUAGCUGUUUGAGAAGAUUUUUC
Molecule: long non-coding RNA, 326 nt
Organism: Eptesicus fuscus (big brown bat)
Lineage: Eukaryota; Metazoa; Chordata; Mammalia; Chiroptera; Vespertilionidae
Exons: 3
Source: RefSeq, a predicted model, not a curated record